GAUAAAUUUGAAGGAAACAUAACAUUUAAUGAAGUCGUGUUCAACUAUCCCACCCGAGCAAACGUGCCAGUGCUUCAGGGGCUGAGCCUGGAGGUGAAGAAAGGCCAGACACUAGCCCUGGUGGGCAGCAGUGGCUGUGGGAAGAGCACGGUGGUCCAGCUCCUGGAGAGGUUCUACGACCCCUUGGCGGGGACAGUGUUUGUGGACUUUGGUUUUCAGCUUCUCGAUGGUCAAGAAGCAAAGAAACUCAAUGUCCAGUGGCUCAGAGCUCAACUCGGAAUCGUGUCUCAGGAGCCUAUCCUAUUUGACUGCAGCAUUGCCGAGAAUAUUGCCUAUGGAGACAACAGCCGGGUUGUAUCACAGGAUGAAAUUGUAAGUGCAGCCAAAGCUGCCAACAUACAUCCUUUCAUCGAGACGUUACCCCACGUAAGUUAACAAGUAGCUGAAAUCAGAAGAGACUAUUUUUUAUCCCCCAAACAAUUACCAAAGUUAUGCCAACAAAAUCUUGUAACAAAAUAUGUUGAUUUAUUAACAUUAACAACUUGGACAAGGCACUUCAGGAUACCAAGCUUCCUUAUUUGUAAAUGGGAAUACAUUAUGCCUACCUCAUACAAAUGUAGUGAGAAGCUCAAAACCACCAUACUUCAGGUUACAGACUGGUGGUUGAGGGCUGCAUUUAGACUGCAGUCAUGUUUGGUUUAGCCCUAUGGUACUUUUAAAACAAUUAUAGUUUUUAUUUUGAGAUAAUUAUGGAUUUACAUGUAAUUGUAAGGAAUACAGAGAUCUUAUGUACC
Molecule: small RNA, 794 nt
Filed under: Pan troglodytes (chimpanzee)
Lineage: Eukaryota; Metazoa; Chordata; Mammalia; Primates; Hominidae
Description: retained intron
Source: RNAcentral